This 65-nucleotide transfer RNA is filed under the name Ceromasia rubrifrons. Its description in RNAcentral is "tRNA-Pro". The record is from RNAcentral. Lineage: Eukaryota; Metazoa; Arthropoda; Insecta; Diptera; Tachinidae.
CAAGAAAUAGUUUAAAUAAAAUAUUAAUUUUGGGUAUUAAUGAUAAAGAAGUUCUUUUUUCUUGA